AGUAACGCGUGGGUAACCUGCCUUGUACAGGGGGAUAACAGUUGGAAACGGCUGCUAAUACCGCAUAAGCGCAUGGCAUCGCAUGAUGCAGUGUGAAAAACUCCGGUGGUAUAAGAUGGACCCGCGUUGGAUUAGCUAGUUGGUGAGGUAACGGCCCACCAAGGCGACGAUCCAUAGCCGACCUGAGAGGGUGACCGGCCACAUUGGGACUGAGACACGGCCCAA
Molecule: ribosomal RNA, 225 nt
Filed under: uncultured bacterium
Lineage: Bacteria
Description: partial 16S ribosomal RNA
Rfam family: Bacterial small subunit ribosomal RNA
Source: RNAcentral